Molecule: non-coding RNA, 102 nt
Filed under: Clostridium bornimense
Lineage: Bacteria; Bacillati; Bacillota; Clostridia; Eubacteriales; Clostridiaceae
Description: SAM-I sequence
Rfam family: SAM riboswitch aptamer (S box leader)
About the family: The SAM riboswitch is found upstream of a number of genes which code for proteins involved in methionine or cysteine biosynthesis in Gram-positive bacteria. The SAM riboswitch acts at the level of transcription termination control.
Source: Rfam by way of RNAcentral
UUCUUAUCAAGAGUGGUGGAGGGACUGGCCCAAUGAAACCCGGCAACCUAAUGGGAAAACCUAUAGGUGCUAAAUCCUGUAGCAAUAGCUAAGAGAUAAGAG